Molecule: long non-coding RNA, 102 nt
Filed under: Polistes fuscatus (common paper wasp)
Lineage: Eukaryota; Metazoa; Arthropoda; Insecta; Hymenoptera; Vespidae
Description: uncharacterized LOC122513723
Source: RNAcentral
UGUGUGUGUGUGUAUGCGUGUGUAUAACCGCGAGCGCAUCUAGAGUUCUCGACAUGUCAAGUACGGCGUAUCUUUUUUCAUCGGAAAGAAAAAGAAGAAGAA